AUGCCUGUAACUGCUAAAGGCGACAUUGACAAGGAGGCAAAGGACAGCAAAAAGACACUGCUAAAGCUCUCUGCUGCUGACAACAGUGAGAAGAGUGGCAGCGGAGACAGGCUGACUUUUGGGACCGGGACGCGUUUAGCAGUGAGGCCCAGGACCAGACUGAUGGUAAAACCAAAAAUCAAGGACCCCAACCCCACUGUGUACCAGCUGAGAAGCCCCGAAUCCAGCAACACUUCUGUCUGCCUCUUCACCGAUUUUGACUCAAAUCAAAUCAACCUGACACAAAUUGGGGGGUACGAGUGGAACAUGGUACACAAAAAAGACAGCACCGUGCUCAACAUGGAGAUCCUGGGGUCCAAGAGCAACGGGAUAGUGACUUGGGGAAGCACCAGCGAUUCUGGAUGCACAAACACCUUCAACGAGAGCAUUGAGUUCGUCCACAGCUUCGGAAUCCCCUGUGAUGCCAAGCUGGUAGAGAAAAGCUUUGAAACAGAUGUGAACCUAAACUCCCAAAACCUGUCAGUGAUCGUGUUCCGCAUCCUCCUCCUGAAGGUGGUCGGGUUUAACCUGCUCAUGACGCUGCGGCUCUGGUCCAGUUGAGGUCACCGACAACCUGAGAGCCCCAUGCUCCCUCGCCCCUUGCUCCUCGUCGCCCUUCCUCUCCCUCUUCAAGCAGAGAGGCACACUCUCUGCCCCCGUGGAUGAGAAGGCUCCCUCCUCCUCUCUGGCCUGGUUGGCCAUACAAAAUGGAUCCUCCAGAUACUGGUGAUCAAGAUGCUGACAAGCUGCCCAGCACGGCUGCCACCCACGCUGUUCCUCACUGCUGCUUGUC
Budorcas taxicolor (takin) is the source of this 832-nucleotide non-coding RNA. NCBI's taxonomy places the organism in Eukaryota, Metazoa, Chordata, Mammalia, Artiodactyla, Bovidae. The record is from the annotation of a RefSeq genome assembly.